This 426-nucleotide ribosomal RNA is filed under the name uncultured Actinomycetes bacterium. RNAcentral's name for it is "bacterial SSU rRNA". It matches the Rfam family "Bacterial small subunit ribosomal RNA", at positions 233 to 671 of the family's 1533-position model. The record is from RNAcentral. Lineage: Bacteria; Bacillati; Actinomycetota; Actinomycetes.
GCGGCCUAUCAGCUUGUUGGUGAGGUAACGGCUCACCAAGGCUACGACGGGUAGCUGGUCUGAGAGGACGACCAGCCACACUGGAACUGAGACACGGUCCAGACACCUACGGGUGGCAGCAGUGGGGAAUAUUGGGCAAUGGAGGGAACUCUGACCCAGCGACGCCGCGUGCGGGAUGAAGGCCUUCGGGUUGUAAACCGCUUUCAGCAAGGAAGAAGCGAAAGUGACGGUACUUGCAGAAGAAGCACCGGCUAACUAUGUGCCAGCAGCCGCGGUAAUACAUAGGGUGCAAGCGUUGUCCGGAAUUAUUGGGCGUAAAGAGCUCGUAGGUGGUUCGUCACGUCGGAUGUGAAAAUCUGGGGCUUAACCCCAGACCUGCAUUCGAUACGGGCGAGCUAGAGUGUGGUAGGGGAGACUGGAAUUCCU